UCAUUCAUAAUUUUUUUUUAAAAAAACGAACUAAAAAAAGAUACAAAUUUUAAGGACAAGGGUUUUCACUCACAAAGUAGCACUUACAAGUGCUUGCUUUUAUUCCAAUAUCCACACACUUUGCAUCAAAAUAGGACUCUCCAAAUUUUUGGAUGCAAUAUUUUUUGCAAAGUGGUAACUCUUUUGAACAAGGAACAUAAGCCAAAUAAGGUAACAAACAUCUGAAUUCACCAUUCACUUGUGUGAUCACCAACAUGCCUGCAAAAAUCAAUUACUAUACAUUAAGGUUGGGUCCAACUCAAUAACUUAAUUUGAUCUAAAUGUUACGUCCAUGUGAAGAAUAUAUAUAUAAGCAUCCAGUAUUCCUCGAACUAUGGUCAAAGUUGCUACGACAUACUCCCAACUCCACAGGAUUUCUAUUAUCCUCCUGAACUCAAUUUUAGUGUAUUUUUGUCACCCUUUUGUGCUGAUGUGACACAUUUAUUACAUAAAAUGGGGUCCACAUCAAAGGUGUCACAACAGCUAAAAAGGUUGAUAAAAGAUGUUACGUCAGCAAAAAAAAAAAAAGACAAAAAUACGAAAAAUUGAGUUCAGGAGGUAAUACAACCCUUGUGAAGUUGGAGUGUGUCGUAGCAAAUUUGAUCAUUGUUCAGAAGGGAUACUAGAUGUUUUACUCUCUCUCUAUAUAUACACGCACAAAAAGUAUUUAAUGGAGCAGUAUCAGAUUUAUCAGAACUUAUUUUCCUUUUGAGUAAAGCAUCUAGUACCCUCUUGAACUAUGAUCAAAUUCGCUAUGACACACUUUAACUUCACGGGGUCGUAUUAUCCCUCUGAACUAAAUUUUAGUGUGUUUUUGUCAAUCUUUUUAAUUGACAUGACACCUUUUAUCAAUCUUUUUAGCUAAUAUGCCCCCUUUGACGUGGGCCCAUUUUAUGUAAUAAAGAUGUCACGCAAGAGUGACAAAAGUACGCCAAAAUUAAGUUUAGGGGGUAAUAGGACCCCUAUGAAGUUGGAGUGUGUCGUAACAACUUUGGUCAUAGUUCGAAACACCGGAUGCUUAUCUCUUUCCUCUAUGUGUAUAUUGAUACACCCACCAACACAAAUCCUCAAUAAAUCAAUCCAUCAAAAUUCAAAUAAAUAUAAAAAAAAAUCACAUAAAUUGUUUUUUUCUCUAUUGAAAAGUUGAACUUUGAUCUUCUACCAUUAUCAUCUAUCACUAAGUUAAAAUAAUCCUUUUAAAUUGAUGAAAAAAUUAAAAACAAAAAGAAAGAAAAUUAAUUUUGAAAAGAAAAUACAUACCACAAAUGUAAGUAAUGAGGAAAAUCAAACUGCGGAAAGAUGCACCAAAAUUUUCCAUUGAAUAAUUUAGUGCAUAAAAUAGUCACUUUAUCUAUUUUUAUAAUUGUAAAAUUUAAGAGAUUACAGUAAUAGAAAAA
Molecule: long non-coding RNA, 1436 nt
Filed under: Capsicum annuum
Lineage: Eukaryota; Viridiplantae; Streptophyta; Magnoliopsida; Solanales; Solanaceae
Description: long non-coding RNA (CANN_LNC007866)
Source: RNAcentral